AUUUUUUCUUCAACCAAAGAAGAAAAUCACCAUUAAAGACUUUUCCCAUCAGUUUCGCCGCCCUUGUUGCCUUUCUUUCAUCACAAUCAAAAUCCAAUCUUUUUCUUCUUGUUUUCUUCCAAAGAUCCAAUAUUUUCUCUCCGAUACACCCAGAAAAAGUGACAUGUAACAGAAUCCACCUUCCAAUAAUAGCAAUUUCAUUUCUAAAAAUACUUCUGAUGGAUUUUUUGUGUUUUUCGUUUCACUUCCCAAAAGGGUUUUUGCUUUAUCAAACAUACCCUUUCCUAUCAAACUUCUCAUAAUUUUUUUUUCUGAAUUUUGGGAUUUUUUAAAAACUCUUUUUUUUUUGUGUGUGUGGGGUGGAGAAAAGGUUAAAGAUGAGUAUAGCCAAGUCCCAGGUUUGGCAACCUUGUAAAAAGAAGAGGAUUUAGCUUUAGGCAUAUAAUUAUAUUAAGAAAAUAAAAAGAUUUCUGAAAAAAAGAAGAAGAGGGAUUUGAAGAUCUAUAAGGAAGAAGAUUUGGAUUGAAUAAGGGAGAUGGGUUCAAGAUCAAAUAAUGGAAGUGGGACUGGGAGGACAAGAGUGGGAAGGUAUGAACUUGGGAGGACAUUGGGGGAGGGUACUUUUGCAAAAGUGAAAUUUGCUAGGAAUGUUGAAACUGGUGAUAAUGUAGCCAUAAAGAUUCUUGAUAAAGAGAAGGUCAUGAAGCACAAGAUGAUUGGUCAGAUUAAACGGGAAAUAUCAACCAUGAAACUUAUUAGACACCCCAAUGUAAUCCGGAUGUAUGAGGUCAUGGCCAGCAAGUCGAAGAUAUAUAUUGUUUUGGAAUUUGUUACUGGUGGCGAACUAUUUGACAAAAUUGCUAGUAAAGGUAGGCUCAAAGAAGAUGAAGCAAGAAAGUAUUUUCAGCAGCUUAUCAAUGCAGUGGACUACUGUCAUAGUAGAGGUGUAUUCCACAGAGACCUCAAGCCUGAGAACUUGUUAUUGGAUGCCAAUGGUGUUCUUAAAGUUUCGGAUUUCGGAUUGAGUGCGCUGCCUCAGCAAGUUCGCGAAGAUGGACUUCUACAUACAACAUGUGGAACACCAAAUUAUGUUGCUCCUGAGGUUAUCAAUAAUAAAGGCUAUGAUGGAGCAAAGGCAGAUUUAUGGUCAUGUGGUGUGAUUCUUUAUGUCUUAAUGGCUGGUUACUUGCCUUUUGAAGAAUCCAACCUUAUGGCUCUCUAUAAAAAGAUAUUUAAGGCGGACUUCACAUGUCCUCCAUGGUUCUCCUCAAGUGCAAAGAAACUCAUCAAAAGAAUUCUGGAUCCUAAUCCUUUGACGCGUAUUACUAUUGCUGAGCUUAUUGAAAAUGAGUGGUUUAAGAAAGGAUAUAAGCCACCUACUUUUGAACAAGCUGAAGUUAGUCUUGAUGAUGUGAACUCUAUCUUCAAUGAAUCAGGGGAUUGUCAAAACCUUGUUGUGGAGAGUCGAGGAGAAGCUCCAAUAGGGCCUGUGGCACCUAUAACAAUGAAUGCAUUUGAACUUAUUUCUACAUCUCAGGGCCUCAACCUCAGUAGUCUUUUUGAGAAGCAAAUGGGACUUGUGAAACGGGAAACCAGAUUUACAUCCAAACGUUCAGCUAAUGAGAUAAUCUCAAAAAUUGAAGAAACUGCAAUGCCUUUGGGUUUUGAAGUUAAGAAAAAUAACUUCAAGAUGAAGCUGCAAGGGGAGAAGACUGGACGUAAGGGUCAUUUAUCUAUUGCAACUGAGAUCUUUGAGGUGGCCCCUUCUCUUUAUAUGGUUGAACUUCGCAAAUCUGGUGGAGAUACCCUAGAAUUUCACAAGUUUUACAAGAACCUGUCAGCUGGACUAAAAGAUAUUGUUUGGAGAACCAUUGAUGAAGAAAAGGAAGAAGGAAAAGAGAAGAUAAAUGGUGCUGCUGUGGUACCGUCACUGACAUGAUAUGUGGGGUUCGUUUAGUGGUUGAAUUGUGUAAAUGGGUGGAAACUCCAAAUGCAAUAAUUUUUUAAGAUUGUUAUGUUGGAUUGUUAUGAAAAGUAUGAAGCAUCUAUUUUAAUUUUCCUUAGAAUGAACUUUUGUGGUUCAGAACUUGCUUAUGUAUACCUUGGCUUGGCUUGAUUUGGUUCAAACCUGUAAUGUAUUGUAAACUUUCCUCAUUCCUUGGUAGGAAAAACAUAAUCAUAUUGUGAAUAAGACAAAAUUUCUGUGUCUCGCUUGCAGAUGCAUGCACAUUCUUCAC
Molecule: unclassified non-coding RNA, 2237 nt
Filed under: Hevea brasiliensis (rubber tree)
Lineage: Eukaryota; Viridiplantae; Streptophyta; Magnoliopsida; Malpighiales; Euphorbiaceae
Source: RNAcentral